GUGCUCACGGCUGUUGGACCUCGAGAGGGACACCGAUGAGCCCUGUCCACAAGGAAAGCCAGACAAGAAAACGUUGAAUAAGCCACCGAGGACUUGGAAAUAUACACCGUGAAAUCUCUGUCCCUCAUCGUGAAGGUGCCCAGCAGAGUUCUGAGAGUCCUCGGUAUAAAGACUUACUCCUGUAAAGAUCUACAAGAGAUUCUCUGCCUUGUGCCACACAUAAAGGACAAACAAUGGGGAAGAGGAAUAGUAGACCCAAUGCUUUGACAAGAAUCCAGCUACCAGGCUAAUCAAGUUGGAGGGCGGAGAGAGAUCUGGCAUGACUCCGGUGUUGGCCUCAUCUAAACAGGAUCUCUCCAACAAAUCACAAAUACCUAGAAAAGUCUACCUUAUUUCAUUCCCCCAAAUCAAAAUAAUAAUUUAAAAGAUCUCAAAGUCUGCACGGAGCUAGCAUUUAUUCAUUCCAUCAGCAUCUUACAGACACCCUAUUUUGUACUGGAUCUAGAAAAUUAACACCAAGAUUCUCUGAUUUCCAAAGUUUCACGUUUACUGGGGAAUUCCAAGAGAAUCCUUUACUGUUCACUUCAACACUCUCACCUCAAUCGGUCUCACAGCGGGCCACACCCUCCUCUCACACUUCCUCCUUCAAGGCAUCAGGACACCACACUCCCGGGGUUUCCGCCUAUGGCACUGGAGCUUUGUAGGAUCUUCCUCCCUUUCCACUCUGAAUGUCAUCUCUCUGGGCUGGAUCCUGGCAUUCCUUCUCUCUUAUUCAGUAAUCUCACCUCUUUCAAGGUUUAACUACAUCCAGGACUCCAAAAUUUUUACCUCCAGAUUUAACUUUUCUGUUCAAAUUACUAUCCUGGAGCUGCCAAUCUGACACCUCCAUGUAACGGUCUCACUUUAAAUUUAGGGUACCUGCAACUAAACGGUUGUAUAUCUGUCCCCACCAGCUACACCCAAACCUACUCCUUUCUUAGAAUCCUUACAUCUCAAUAUGUAACUCUACCAUUUACCCAGUUGCUUUAGUCAUUCUCCUCCCUCCUUCCCUCACCACAUCCCAUCCAUCCAUCGGCAGAUUCUGUCCAUGUUAUCUCUAAACACACCCACACCCACCCCCUCCUCUCUAUUUCCACAACUGCCACCAAUAGCCUCCUAAAUCAACAUUCCAAGCUCUUGGUUUUCUUCAGGGUAAAGUUCUCCAGUGGAAAUAACAGGAACCGCUAAGUAUUACUCAGAACUUACCGUACACCAUGCUAUGCACUGGCUGCCCUCUGCCAUGUGAGCCUCUAAACCACCAAAUGAGAAAACAGGCUCGGAGGAGUGAAGUCACUCCCUAGAGCUGCACAUCGAUCAGUGGUGGCUGCCGGACCCCACAGCCCCUGCACUUGACUACAUUGUCACAGUGAUCAUUUCAAACCGUCACACUGUUGGUCUUUGAGAACAGAACUGAAUUAGCAUUUCUGCAGUGAAUAUUCCAUCUCUGAAAGUACAGAAACACAAUCAACCACCUAACACCCCAUCCUACCAAACAAAGGUGAGUGAAAUGGACGAGACUGUAGGUGCAUCCGCUGAAAGAAGGUCGCUGCCAACAAAAGUUGUUUAGUUUCUCUCAGAGCUACAAUGGCAGCGAGAGGACUGCACCUCUUAGAGCCUCAAAACUUUUCCCUAGGUCCCUAUAUUCUCAUUGCUGGCAGUAACCUCAAUCUUUAAAUACAGCUGUCAGGUUGCUACUGUAGGCCUGACAAUGAAAUUCAAAAUUCAUAGGAGACUGACCUCUUUUUAGUAUUCCAAUAGUAUUUGCUUCUUCACUUACGCAAAGAGACGAAGAAAAAAUGCACGUUUGCUUUUACCCUUCAUCAACAGUCUAAUUUAUUACAAAGAAAACAGGUGGAAAGAAGGUCAAUCUACAAAUGCUAGUGAUUAGACUAACAAUUAUGAAACCCUUCACCAGUAUUUGUUUUUCAGUCUGCAGUGUUCUGGUUGAACAUUGUGAUUCUUGGAUCAGUCAUUUCCAUCCGUGUUUGGGUUUGCUCAGUCUCCCCAGUUGGUGUGUGCAUGCGUGUGCGCUCUUAUUCCACCCCCACUCGCAAAGGGCUUAGAGCCAAAAUCUGAUCCUCUCAAGCUGAAAAGGCUGGCUGGGCGAGUCAUGUGUAGCCUGGCUGGGGAGCUGGGAACUCUGGAUCCCUUCUCCAUGUGGCGCAGAUGCCAGCUUCCCAGUCUCACCCUGCAGUGCAGCCAACAUCUGGGAAACAUAAAAUUCUGGAGUUCUUGUUUGUGAUACUUCCUGCUGUGUUCCUGGCACAACUGAACACACUGACUUUUUAACUCAUAUCUGAACACUUGCUUUUAUUGAAUAUUUGCCUUUUCUCCCUAUGGUGGGCUUGCUAGCGAUACCCCUGAAUAAAAGGAUUCUUUAUACAUUU
Molecule: long non-coding RNA, 2426 nt
Organism: Myotis brandtii (Brandt's bat)
Lineage: Eukaryota; Metazoa; Chordata; Mammalia; Chiroptera; Vespertilionidae
Exons: 2
Source: RefSeq, a predicted model, not a curated record